This is an RNA transcript of Musa acuminata subsp. malaccensis (wild Malaysian banana), 1707 nucleotides long. It is a transcript of the gene named E3 ubiquitin-protein ligase SPL2, with no coding region annotated. The record is from RefSeq and is a predicted model, not a curated record. Lineage: Eukaryota; Viridiplantae; Streptophyta; Magnoliopsida; Zingiberales; Musaceae.
CCGACCCAAUCCAAGAACGAGAACUCGACGCCGGGAAUGCCGUUGCGCAACCACGGGACGGCAGCGGUCCUCGCGCGGCUCGCGGUCGCCUGCGACGGCGCCAUCCUCGGCCUCGCACUCGCCGCGGUGUCAGCAGCCUCCUGGGUCAAGUACGCCACCACCUCCGCUGCCCUCGACCGCAUCAGCUGCGCUCCCUCCGCCCCCAUCUCUGGCCUCCGUGCUAUCCUCUCCUCCGCGGACUACUUGAACGAAGAUCCUCUCCUCGUCGUCGUUCGAGGCCGGGUCCAGCCCAGCUCCGCCGUCGAGGCUCUCAGCGACGGUGCGGUUUCCGAGACAAACGGCGUCCUCACCCCUCGGGGCUCCGACGAGAUGGCCGUCGCCAUCCUCAACACCCAAAUGUGUUUGUACAAUGAAUGGAGGGGAAUGUUCAGAUGGAAUUUUGAUCUCCAUGCACUGUUUGCAAAAUCUUUGAAGGAACAAAGGUCAAGCUCAAGCUUAUUGAAAUCGGUUUCGUUUGUUCUUGUUGAAGCCGGUGACUGGCCUAAUUCUGGUUAUGUUCAUGUUAAUUUGGAUGGGUCAGCCCACCCACUACCUCUCACUACAGUUUAUCAUGAGCUGCACCCUAUUCAAGUUCCUCCAUUCACAUUCUUCCAGGUCUUCUUUGGUUCUGGAUAUCCUGUGGCUUUGUUGGAUGAAGAAAAAAUCCUUCCAGUUGGAAAGGAGAUUACUGCAAUUGGCAUUUGCAGACCAAGAGAUGAAGCUAUUGAGAUAAAAUCAUGCCAGGAGCUUCCUUGUUUCUUGUCUGACAUGACAAAGGAUGAAAUUGUGGCUGAGCUUAAUUUCGAUGCUGGAGUCCUGUUCUGGAGUGGCAUUUUGCUUGGAAUUCUGUCUGUUGGUAUAUUAGGUUAUGCCGUCAUUAGGAACUGGUGGAAAUGGAAAGAGUGGAGACUGAGGAGAAGAAGACAGAAUGAGGACUUAAAUAAUGAGGCUUUGUCCAGGAGCAGCAUGGAACAGGAGGAUGUACCGGAUGGGGAACUUUGUGUCAUCUGCUUAUCAAGACGAAGAAGAACUGCAUUUGUUCCUUGUGGGCAUCUUGUUUGUUGUCCACACUGUGCAACAUCUGUGGUGCAUGACUCCUCACCAAAGUGUCCUUUGUGUUGUCAAGAUGUUCGGUCUUCCAUUAGAAUAUAUGAAUCUUGAGGAACACGAACUCUUUGGAUCUCAUUUUUGGGUAACCAAUUGGACAGAUAUGGAUGUAGAAUGGCUAGAAGAUUGGAAACACAAGAUUAUCCGAGCCUAGAAUCAGACGAUGCAGGAUUCUUUUAUGUUCACUUUUACGGCUGGUUAAUGCUUCUGACUGUUUGUUCGCUAACCUGCUGUUUGGAAGGAACAUCAUACAUGAUUACUGAUCAGAAUAGUCCUUAACUUAUGGGGCCAGCAGUUCGUGAAGGUUUCCAACUCAAAAGAUAGGUGAUCUCAGUGAUGCUGUACAUAAAUUAUCUGCUAAAUUUUGUAAUUGAUAACUACACUGUUGAACUUUUUUAGUUUCCUGUUUCAACCGGAUGAGAGGCAUUUCUGCCAGGUGAUAACAUUUUUUUUUUACCGUAUGAUGUAACCAUACGACCACCAUGUUAUAGGAUACUGUUCAUCUCAAGUUUGUCACAAACAUUAUUUCAUAUACCGUUCAUCUCAUAUAUGAUGUUCUCU